RNAcentral lists this ribosomal RNA (776 nucleotides) under uncultured Neocallimastigales. RNAcentral's name for it is "partial large subunit ribosomal RNA". It matches the Rfam family "Eukaryotic large subunit ribosomal RNA", at positions 22 to 621 of the family's 3401-position model. Lineage: Eukaryota; Fungi; Neocallimastigomycota; Neocallimastigomycetes; Neocallimastigales. The record is from RNAcentral.
AUAUCAGUCAUGCAUAGCAUAUCAAUAAGCGGAGGAAAAGAAACUAACAAGGAUUCCCUUAGUAACGGCGAGUGAAGCGGGAAGAGCUCAAAUUUGAAAUCUUCAAGGUUUUGACCUUGACGAAUUGUAGUUUAAAGAAGUGUUUUCUGUUGAAGUUUUGGUAAAAGUUCUUUGGAAUAGGACAUCAUAGAGGGUGAGAAUCCCGUAUUUGACCAUUACUUUCAGCUUUGUGAUACACUUUCAAAGAGUCGGAUUGUUUGGGAAUGCAGUCCAAAAUGGGUGGUAAAUUUCAUCUAAAGCUAAAUAUUGGCGAGAGACCGAUAGCGAACAAGUACCGUGAGGGAAAGAUGAAAAGAACUUUGAAAAGAGAGUUAAACAGUACGUGAAAUUGUCAAAAGGGAAGCGUUUGACACCAGUGUUGUUUUCUCGAAAAUCAAUUAAAAAGAGUUGGAUUUUGUGUUGUAUUGACUUUAUCAGGCUUUCUUCACUCUUUUCCAGCUUUUUUUAAUGCACUUUUCGUUUAACAGGUCAACAUCAGUUUCUUUUGUUGUAAAAAGGUCAUUGGAAGGUGGCUUUCUCUUCGGAGAAAGUGUUUAUAGCCUUUGACUCAUGCAAUCGGAGAGACUGAGGUCUGCAGCGUAGAUCCUUCGGGGUUAGAUACAUUUGUGCUAAGUUAUAGCUUUUCAUAGACAACUUGUUGACUAUGUUUAGUCUUGUAGCUUACUCGCUUAUGCUAUUUUACCUACGCUUAGGAUGUUGAACUCUAUCACACACAG